CUUCACUCCAAGUGAGUUACUCCUUUCUACUACGUACCUUGUCCACGGCAGCAACGCCCUGACAGCACCUGGAGCAAUCAGGAAUCAUGGCAGCUACAACUCACAUGGAGAGUGCUGCAGGUAUACCUGUGUAAUCCAUGGAACUCAAAGUACUUCCUGGCAGAAAGUGGAGGGAUCCUCAUUAUGGGAAUGCUGUGAAUGAUCCCAUCACAGAAUAGACAUCCGCUGCAGCCGGCAAUACAGCAAGUCAUUCAUCAUCGUGCUCCCACAGCUCCCAAGUGACUCCUUAAAGCCUGCGGGAAAUGUUUACAGGUCCAGACAAGAUGCAGCUCCAAC
This is a long non-coding RNA of Hyla sarda, 336 nucleotides long. RefSeq lists it as uncharacterized. Lineage: Eukaryota; Metazoa; Chordata; Amphibia; Anura; Hylidae. The transcript has 3 exons. The record is from RefSeq and is a predicted model, not a curated record.